AUGGCUACACAAACCGUUGAAGAUAGUUGUAAACCUAGGCCAAAACGAACUGGUGCAUGUAGUUUACUGAAACCCUUGAAUUCGGAAUAUGGGAAAGUCGCCCCGGGUUGGGGCACUACUCCUUUUAUGGGCCUUUCCCUAUCAUGCCCAAUGAACGUCGCAUGGAACCGCAGCUGCCUGCUGCAGGUAUAUUGGUUAUGUACCUCCGCGAAGGCCAUGGAGGACAGCCACGUCGCAACCACUUGA
RNAcentral lists this ribosomal RNA (246 nucleotides) under Triticum aestivum (bread wheat). RNAcentral describes it as "partial small subunit ribosomal RNA". Lineage: Eukaryota; Viridiplantae; Streptophyta; Magnoliopsida; Poales; Poaceae. The record is from RNAcentral.